AUUGAACGCUGGCGGCAUGCCUUACACAUGCAAGUCGAACGGCAGCACGGGAGCAAUCCUGGUGGCGAGUGGCGAACGGGUGAGUAGUACAUCGGAACGUGCCUAGUAGUGGGGGAUAGCCCGGCGAAAGCCGGAUUAAUACCGUAUACGACCUGAGGGUGAAAGCGGGGGAUCGCAAGACCUCGCGCUAUCAGAGCGGCCGAUGCCAGAUUAGGUAGUUGGUGGGGUAAAAGCCUACCAAGCCGACGAUCUGUAGCUGGUCUGAGAGGACGACCAGCCACACUGGGACUGAGCAACGGCCCAGACUCCUACGGGAGGCAGCAGUGGGGAAUUUUGGACAAUGGGCGCAAGCCUGAUCCAGCCAUGCCGCGUGCAGGAAGAAGGCCUUCGGGUUGUAAACUGCUUUUGUCAGGGAAGAAAAGUUCUGGGCUAAUACCCCGGAGCGAUGACGGUACCUGAAGAAUAAGCACCGGCUAACUACGUGCCAGCAGCCGCCGUAA
RNAcentral lists this ribosomal RNA (500 nucleotides) under uncultured bacterium. RNAcentral's name for it is "partial 16S ribosomal RNA". It matches the Rfam family "Bacterial small subunit ribosomal RNA", at positions 29 to 523 of the family's 1533-position model. The record is from RNAcentral.